This 253-nucleotide ribosomal RNA is filed under the name uncultured bacterium. RNAcentral describes it as "partial 16S ribosomal RNA". It matches the Rfam family "Bacterial small subunit ribosomal RNA", at positions 524 to 776 of the family's 1533-position model. The record is from RNAcentral.
UACGUAGGGCGCGAGCGUUGUCCGGAUGUACUGGGCGUAAAGGGCGCGCAGGCGGCGCAUUUUGUCAGGCGUGAAAGCCCCGGGCUCAACCUGGGAACUGCAUUUGUGACUGCAAGGCUAGAGUACGGUAGAGGGGGAUGGAAUUCCGCGUGUAGCAGUGAAAUGCGUAGAUAUGCGGAGGAACACCGAUGGCGAAGGCAAUCCCCUGGACCUGUACUGACGCUCAUGCACGAAAGCGUGGGGAGCAAACAGG